RNAcentral lists this ribosomal RNA (392 nucleotides) under uncultured bacterium. RNAcentral's name for it is "bacterial SSU rRNA". It matches the Rfam family "Bacterial small subunit ribosomal RNA", at positions 28 to 417 of the family's 1533-position model. The record is from RNAcentral.
GACGAACGCUGGCGGCGUGCUUAACACAUGCAAGUCGAGCGGUAAGGCCCUUUCGGGGUACGACGAGCGGCGAACGGGUGAGUAACACGUGGGUGACCUGCCCUCCAGUUCUUGGGAGUAAGCCUGGGAAACCGGGGUCUAAUACUGGAUAUGACCUCAUGACGCAUGUUGUGGGGUGGAAAGCCUUGUGCGACUGAGGAUGGGCCCGCGGCCUAUCAGCUUGUUGGUGGGGUGAUGGCCUACCAAGGCGACGACGGGUAGCCGGCCUGAGAGGGCGACCGGCCACACUGGGACUGAGACACGGCCCAGACUCCUACGGGAGGCAGCAGUGGGGAAUCUUGCGCAAUGGGCGAAAGCCUGACGCAGCGACGCCGCGUGAGGGAUGACGGCCU